RNAcentral lists this long non-coding RNA (272 nucleotides) under Ictidomys tridecemlineatus (thirteen-lined ground squirrel). Its description in RNAcentral is "lncRNA (ENSSTOG00000031665.1)". The record is from RNAcentral. Lineage: Eukaryota; Metazoa; Chordata; Mammalia; Rodentia; Sciuridae.
GGUUGCCUUGACCUUGGGGGUGGGGAACAGGAAGGCAGGAAAGUGUACCCCACCAGCUUUGACGAUUUUUCCUCUUUCCACCUGAUUUUUACCAAAGGUGCCCUGGAGCAUGUCCUGGUGGUGCUGAGUGGAAGAGACCUUGCUUGGAGGGAGGUGCCAAGAAUGGAUGGACCUGCCCAACUGCAGCAGAGUAAGUGUGGAUGAGUUGGAUGAUGGGAUACUCAACACAGUGAGAGCAAACCUAUGACAGCUACAGGCAAUGACACAGGCCA